Molecule: small nucleolar RNA, 67 nt
Organism: Astatotilapia calliptera (eastern happy)
Lineage: Eukaryota; Metazoa; Chordata; Actinopteri; Cichliformes; Cichlidae
Product: small nucleolar RNA SNORD52
Source: Ensembl
UGGGAUGAUGAUUGCAUAGACUAGAGUCUCUGAGAAGCAUGAAGUUGUUUUCACAGUGCACUGACCA